RNAcentral lists this small RNA (3306 nucleotides) under Histoplasma capsulatum var. duboisii H88. Its description in RNAcentral is "Histoplasma capsulatum H88 hypothetical RNA". The record is from RNAcentral. Lineage: Eukaryota; Fungi; Ascomycota; Eurotiomycetes; Onygenales; Ajellomycetaceae.
AACCGCAUUCUUUGAACGGCUUGUACCCACCAAGCACCAGAUCGUAUUCUUUUUGCGCCUGCUUGAGAAUGGGUCAGCCUUGUGGGGACCGACCGCGUUGGAGCCUCAAAAAUGCCCUCGAUUAUUGCUCCAUAUCACCAGUCUAUCAAACCUUGGGAAGAUCCUUUCCCUCUCGGCUCCGCUAGCAUCUUGGCCGGGGCAGUGAUGUUGAUGUGACUCUUGGCUCGGCGGUUGGGUCUCUGGAUGGAGUUUCAUGGCCAAAAAAAAGGAAAGGAGCAGGAAUGUGUUGGUUCUGUCUGAUUGAUUUUCGUGAGCAAAGGGAAUGAUAUUCAAACUGCGGACAACCCAUUUAUAAUCUUGUUUAGUGAUGCCUAAUCCGAAAAAUGGUGGUGAGAAGGAUGAUGGCCGGGAUAAAGUACUGGAGGUGUCAAAACUUGAAAGGGCUUCCAGGCUUGAGCUAUUUGUUCAAGCAAACCUCUAAACAUCCCCGUUGACCAAGCUCCAAAAAUUAUAUUUGGGGCUGGUUUAGGGGCAUUUCGCUUUAAAACUUGGCCGUGAAUUUUAGGCAUCCCGCCCCCUUAACUCCAGACAUUCCGCUCCGGCAUGGAGAUCUCCAUUUGAGUUUCUACCAUGUGCUGGGACCUUGUUCCACGCCUCCGUAGAUGCUCUGCAGAGCACCAAAAGCCCUUCUUAGGGUACCACCAUCCUUCAAGAAUUAAGCCCCAUUCACAGAAGCUUUUCGCCAAGCUUGGCCAGUUUGGAGGACUGUCCUCAACACUUAGCACCUUGGGGGGUGUUGAUUGAGGCAGUCUUGGAUACUAGUUGCUAGGCUCAACUCUUUUUGUCAAAGUCUGUUUCUGAAUCCAAAACUGAUGCGUUAAUUUCUGGGGAAGAGAAAAGCAACGGGCGAACCGAUGGGACGGUUGAUGUCGCCGUUUCUGAUGGGGUCCAAGGGCGAGCGCACCAUGAUCGAGCAACUCUUACAGGGGAUGGGAAUGGAUAUACUGUUGGCACGGUUGAAAAAAAAAAAAAGUCUGAACCGCAUUGGGGCCAUUGUCUCCAUGAACACUCCUGCAUUUCCUUUACCAAUAACGUAUCUCCUUUCAACAGUGAGCUUCUCACACCCAACAUACUUAAGGCACAGUACAAAGCCAUCCUAAUAUUUCCGCCAAAUAACUCCUUCCCUCUUCCCUCUUCCCUCUUCCCCCUUCCCCAGUUUCUCCAGUGUUCGCCUUCAAAGAAUUUAGAACUCCACGGCAAGUUAUACACAUGCAUACUAGUAGCCUAAACUUUGCCGACUGCCUGCCCUCCUGAGACACCAAGUCUGGUUCCACUCGAACCUGUCUAUACUCGUCCUCUGAGAUUCAAAACCUCAAACCGUUUACUCGAAAAUCACUGUCUCGUACAACUUCCUAUCCCCAUCCUCAUCUGUCACCCUAUACAAACGCUUAGUGUGUUCGUUGCUCGAGCGACUCACAGAGAUACCCCCUACAUAAUUUCCUGCAGGCUCCUCAAUCGUGCCUGCAGCACUAUACGCCUCGAUGGUCGCGCGUACAGGGUGGAAUUGCGACUUGAGCAUCGCCGGGAACAAGCAGAGGCCGACCUUCUUUGUCUUUUCCUCAAUGCCGUCAAGACAAACGAGGUACCUGAACCCGUGUUUACGGUGGUAAUGCUGGAACUCAGAGGCAUCGGCUGGCAGCAAUGGGAAGGUCUUCGCUGCUGGCGUAGCAUCCCAGAGGUGAGGGAAUGGUACCACGGCGGUAACUCGGUUCCAACCUGUGUACAGAUUGUAUCUAGAUGUGGAUACUGGGCUGGUGAAGGUGAAUGGGCUGACGAGGUUGACUUUAGUGUGCCAUUGCAUCAGGGGCUUAGAGCCAGGAUAGCCGCUAAUCAAGAAGUAGAGAUAUUCUCUCUGCUGGAGCUUAACUUCGACCUCCUUGGCAGUAGGCAAGACGGUGUGGACGAAGUUGGAGAAGGAUAUGGAUUUCGGGGGAUCUAACUCGCCCGAGUCUCUCUGGGGCUUCGGGUUGAAUUUUGGAACAGAUCGCGGAAUUACAUCUGCAAAGAUUCCUUCUUGCUUCUUCGGUUCCUGCUUUGAAGUCUUCUUCUCCACCUGGAGAUCUCGGAACAUAUAGACUUCUUUAGGAAUAUCACUUGUCACCACGUACUUUCUAGCCAUAUCGCCCUUAGUCAGGCCGAGUUCCUCGAACAACUUCUCCGCGACAGCGAUAUUGCCCGCUUUCGGGGGUUUCUGUGGACGCAAAUAAAUUUUGGGAUCGCACAGUUCUCUCCACUGUCGGUCCAGCUCUUUGAACUCCUUGCCCUCUUUAACCCCAUCGAGAAGCUUCGAAAGUGCGCCCGAGCGCAACUGUUUCAGACAUCCAAUGAAGGCAGACGCUGCGAUAUGAGUCUGGAUGUUGUGUCGCUUUGUGUCGCUAACAGCGCUGGACUUCAGCAAUACUCCGCGGGACUUCUGCACAUCAAGAAGCCAGCCAAUGGCACCCUUGUGGGCAUCAGCGUAUGGCAGGCGGUUCUCCUGUAGCAUGGCUGCUGCUUUACGGACGGUUUCCGUGUUGUAAUCUUCCAGGAUCCGCUGCAGCAUCUCCCUUUGCUCGUUUGUGGGAGACAUGGUGCGCGCCAAGGCCGGUGGAAUCACCCGCCGAGCACAUGGGAUCUCAAACGCCAUGUGCCUGAAGCCUCCUUUCUUCUUGAAUCCGAGGGACCGGCGCUUAUUGCUGGUGAUUCUAUAUUCCUUGGCCACUGUUCCAUCUUCAAAAAGUUUACACAUGGCGCUGACGGGAGCUCGGAAGAGGACCGGGAGAGACUUAUCCUCGCUCCAGAAGAGCGGGAUUAGUUUCCCCGUCGAGUCAUCGACGAUGCAGAGAUCUCCGUAGCGAUUUAUGAAGUGAGCACAAGUAUUGCACCUAACUUCUGCGCGGUGCUCGGGCGGGAAAGCAUAUUCGAAGACUGCGUUCAUCUUGAUAGUAGAAUUUUUCAUGUUGACAUGAAAAAUCGGUGCGGUGGGGCGCGAGUUCAGAACAUCAACUGCGCGUUUCGCCAUCCGCUGGUAUAGGGGCUUUGGGUCGAUGCGGGUCUCCUUUUUCCGAACCGGGAGCUCGUCUAGGUAAGCGGGGAGAACAGGUUUCUUAGUAGGGGUAAUAUCCACCCAUUCAUCAUCCAUGAUUGAAGUCAGGGUAUCGAGUUCAACAACGUAUAUUUUUCACUGUUGGAGUCCUUGGUGAAGGGCGGGUGUGUGUGUGUGUGUGUGCACGUUGAUGAUAGUUCAGCUUUGUAAAAAGAAAUGCA